Sitophilus oryzae (rice weevil) is the source of this 282-nucleotide long non-coding RNA. RefSeq lists it as uncharacterized. The record is from RefSeq and is a predicted model, not a curated record. NCBI's taxonomy places the organism in Eukaryota, Metazoa, Arthropoda, Insecta, Coleoptera, Curculionidae. The transcript has 3 exons.
UUGUAACAUAGAAUCUGUAAGCAAUUUUGUGCAUCCACAGCUACUUUCAUAACUACUAACAUACUGAGUGGUUGCAUUUAAAAUAUUAGGACCUGUGUACCUGCAUUCAUAGCUGCAGAUAGGUGAAUCCACCAGUUACCUUAACUACCUACUAACAUACCGAGUACUUGCAUUUAAAAUGUUGGACUUGAAAAAAGGACUUGUGCAUGUGCAUCCACCACUUACAUUCAUAGCGGUUAUGUUAUGUGCAUCCACAGCUACUAUUAUAACUAGUACUAACAU